UGCUCUGCAUCGCUGUCUAAGCUGGGUCC
RNAcentral lists this non-coding RNA (29 nucleotides) under Rattus norvegicus (Norway rat). Lineage: Eukaryota; Metazoa; Chordata; Mammalia; Rodentia; Muridae. The record is from RNAcentral.